RNAcentral lists this small RNA (132 nucleotides) under Escherichia coli. Its description in RNAcentral is "RtT sRNA". It matches the Rfam family "RtT RNA". From Rfam's summary of the family: This family represents a bacterial cis-regulatory element known as RtT RNA. The exact function of RtT is unknown although it is thought that it may be involved in changing the cellular response in relation to amino acid starvation. Lineage: Bacteria; Pseudomonadati; Pseudomonadota; Gammaproteobacteria; Enterobacterales; Enterobacteriaceae. The record is from RNAcentral. RNAcentral also lists the same sequence under 1 other name.
AUUCUGCCCAAGCGGGGAAGGAUGAGAAGCUUCGACCAAGGUUCGACUUGAGCGCCAGCGAUAGAGCGUUGCCGCAGGCAACGACCCGAAGGGCGAAGCGCGCAGCGCUGAGUAAUCCUUCCCCCACCACCA